RNAcentral lists this ribosomal RNA (494 nucleotides) under uncultured bacterium. Its description in RNAcentral is "partial 16S ribosomal RNA". It matches the Rfam family "Bacterial small subunit ribosomal RNA", at positions 28 to 506 of the family's 1533-position model. The record is from RNAcentral.
GACGAACGCUGGCGGCGUGCCUAAUACAUGCAAGUAGAACGCUGAAGGAGGAGCUUGCUUCUCCGGAUGAGUUGCGAACGGGUGAGUAACGCGUAGGUAACCUGCCUGGUAGCGGGGGAUAACUAUUGGAAACGAUAGCUAAUACCGCAUAAGAGUAGAUGUCGCAUGACAUUUGCUUAAAAGGUGCAACUGCACCACUACCAGAUGGACCUGCGUUGUAUUAGCUAGUUGGUGAGGUAACGGCUCACCAAGGCAACGAUACAUAGCCGACCUGAGAGGGUUAUCGGGCACACGGGGAGGUGGAAAAGGCCCAGACCCCUACGGGAGGCAGCAGUAGGGAAUGUUCGGAAAGGGACGGAAGUCUGACCGGAAAACGCCGCGGGGGGGAAAAAGGUUUUCGGAUUGAAAAGCUCUGUUGAAAGAGAAGAACGGGUGGGGGGGGGGAAAGUUAAAACUGGGACGGUAUUGUACCAGAAAGGGACGGAUAAAUACGU